GCGCGAUGGCAGAUGAUCGCUGGCGAGUCGUGAGGCUCGCUGGAGGAAAGUCCGAACACCAGACGGCAGCAUGCCACGUAGAAGACGCGGGCGUCGCAGUUGUAAAACUGCGGCGACGGAAAGUGUCACAGAAAAUAUACCGUCCCGCUCUGCGGGAUAAGGGUGAAAUGGCGAGGUAAGAGCUCACCGCGUCGCGCGCAAGCGAGACGGCAGGAAAAACCCCAUGCGGUGCAAGACAGAACAGAGGGAGGGCAGCCGGUCCGACCAAGGUCCCGAAGAAAUUCGGGAUUUAAUCCUCGGGUUUCGUCGCAUCACGUUUCGCCUCCGGGCGAAGCGGGCGGCUCACGCGAGUGGGCUGAGAUAAAUGAUCAUCCGCUCGAGCAAUCGAGCGACAGAAUUCGGCUUAUCGCCGUCACAAACGA
Molecule: RNase P RNA, 422 nt
Filed under: Verrucomicrobiota bacterium
Lineage: Bacteria; Pseudomonadati; Verrucomicrobiota
Description: RNase P RNA component class A
Rfam family: Bacterial RNase P class A
About the family: Ribonuclease P (RNase P) is a ubiquitous endoribonuclease, found in archaea, bacteria and eukarya as well as chloroplasts and mitochondria. Its best characterised activity is the generation of mature 5'-ends of tRNAs by cleaving the 5'-leader elements of precursor-tRNAs.
Source: RNAcentral